Molecule: long non-coding RNA, 202 nt
Filed under: Lathyrus oleraceus (garden pea)
Lineage: Eukaryota; Viridiplantae; Streptophyta; Magnoliopsida; Fabales; Fabaceae
Description: Pisum sativum (pea) long non-coding RNA (PSAT_LNC038383)
Source: RNAcentral
CACAAUGGUCAAUGAGGAUAACAUUUUCUUCAAGUUGAGGACACCAACGGAUGUCUGAAUGGGAGAGCGACAUUAUCCUUUGAGACCAUUUCAAAUUCUGCUCGUUCUUCAAGACUGAUUGAGGAAGGUGCGAAAUAAACCACCUAGAUAAUAAAGGUAUGCAGCACAUGAGAGUCCCUUGCCUUUUCAUAGUACGAGUGUG